GCGCUUGCUUCGGCAGCACAUAUACUAAAAUUGGAACGAUAGAGAAGGUUAGCGUGGGCCCUGCGCAAGAACGACACGGAAGCAUCCGCGUGUUUCAGUCACCUU
Ochotona curzoniae (black-lipped pika) is the source of this 105-nucleotide small nuclear RNA. The record is from RefSeq and is a predicted model, not a curated record. Lineage: Eukaryota; Metazoa; Chordata; Mammalia; Lagomorpha; Ochotonidae.